Sorghum bicolor (sorghum) is the source of this 108-nucleotide small nucleolar RNA. It matches the Rfam family "Plant small nucleolar RNA R71". From Rfam's summary of the family: R71 is a member of the C/D box family of snoRNAs containing the C (UGAUGA) and D (CUGA) box motifs. Lineage: Eukaryota; Viridiplantae; Streptophyta; Magnoliopsida; Poales; Poaceae. The record is from Rfam.
AUUCCAUGAUGUGGGCAGUCUGAUAUGUAUCCUUGAAAACGUUCCCAUGCUUCUGGAAUAGAUUCACCUUUCUGCUGCUAGAAUUCUGAAAUCUUCCCUCGUAAGAUA